AAUUAGGUGGCCAAGUGGUUAUAGUAGAGGAUUUAAGUAUUUUCUAAAUCUCCUCUUCUCGAAAGAGAGCGUGGGUUCGAACCCCACCCUCGUUA
This is a transfer RNA of 95 nucleotides. It matches the Rfam family "tRNA". Rfam says of the family: Transfer RNA (tRNA) molecules are approximately 80 nucleotides in length. Their secondary structure includes four short double-helical elements and three loops (D, anti-codon, and T loops). The record is from Rfam.